GAAAUGCGAUACUUGGUGUGAAUUGUAGAAUCCCGCGAGCCAUCAAGUCUUUGAACAUAAGUUGCGCCCGAAGCCAUUAGAUUGAGGGCAUGUCUGCCUGGGCGUCUCACGUUGCGUCGCCCACGCCCCCAUCCCCCCCACGAAGGGGGGAAGAAGGGCUGCGGGCGGAUGUUGGCCCCCCGCGAGCGCCCGCGUGCGGUCGGCCCAAAAAGUGAGUCAACCGCGACGGAUGACGCGUCGCGACGAGUGGUGGUUGACAAACCGUUGCGUCGCCUCGCGCGUGUUCGUUCCAUCACGGGAGGCCUGUCGUGACCCUAUCGCGCCGCCGCCAAGGCGCUCUGAUUGCUACCCUACGUCAAGCGGGAUUACCCGCUGAGGUUAA
RNAcentral lists this unclassified non-coding RNA (382 nucleotides) under uncultured fungus. Its description in RNAcentral is "sequence contains ITS1". The stretch from base 1 to 107 matches the Rfam family "5.8S ribosomal RNA", at positions 50 to 154 of the family's 154-position model. The record is from RNAcentral. Lineage: Eukaryota; Fungi.